CCCCCUUCUUUUAAGUCUUUGGUGACUACUCUUCUUGUAGGAAAGAGUACCAUCAAGAUGGAUGAGAUCGCUUCUGUACUUCUCUAGAAUGAGAGGUUCUUAGAUGAAAGAAUCGAGCCUCAAGUUCAGGUGGUGACUCGACUUUGGCAGUGACUAGAGGUGGUGGUGGUAGAGGAUAAAGGGGUAGAGGAUCGUAAGGUGGACGGUCCAGAUCCAAGUCAAGAGACUACAGUAAGAUUAGAUGCUACUGGUAUGAUGAGUUGAGGCAUCGUCAGAGAUUGCCCACAACUCAUAAAUCG
RNAcentral lists this long non-coding RNA (299 nucleotides) under Elaeis guineensis (African oil palm). Its description in RNAcentral is "long non-coding RNA (EGUI_LNC038746)". Lineage: Eukaryota; Viridiplantae; Streptophyta; Magnoliopsida; Arecales; Arecaceae. The record is from RNAcentral.